Molecule: long non-coding RNA, 862 nt
Organism: Nicotiana attenuata
Lineage: Eukaryota; Viridiplantae; Streptophyta; Magnoliopsida; Solanales; Solanaceae
Exons: 5
Source: RefSeq, a predicted model, not a curated record
AAAAUCUUCCCUAGGAGCCAAGGCUUAGAGUUAUUUGUAUGAACGUUUUCAAAUUCACUACAACAAAAAGGGGUUUUAGCGGUAAUUAUUUAUCGGCAAUAAAGUAAUUACCGCUAAUUUAUUCAGGGAACGCAAAUAUUGCCGGCCAAUAAAUAUUUGCUGGUCCUCUAAAUCCUCUCCCGCUUAAACCUUGUAAAGCCGCUCAACUUUUCAACAAAAUAUUCUAAAUUGGCAAAACAAUAUACGCUCAAACAAUAUACUUUUGAAAUCGGCACCAAGCAUCUCCACCUCCCUGUAUCUCAACCGAUGGCCAAAAUAGUCGACACCGUCACAGUCGCUGACACCUUCACAAUCACCGGUUUUGAGAUUGUUACUGGCAUUUUUCUCCUUCACUUUCUUAUCUUCAUCGUCAAAGUAUUUUUCUUACCAGAAGAACAACUGCACAGUUGUACAACAACAGUAGAGGGACAACUACACAAUUGUGCAACAACUGCAGAAGGACAACUAUGAGUUCUGCUACAACAGUUUUAUUUUUUGGGUAAUUCAGAAGCAAAAAAGGUUUUAGGCCUACUUUACUGAAAGAUAUUUGGAAAUUUUCACCGGAGAAGACAGUUGAUGUGCCGUUUAAUAAAUGCCUCAAAGUAGCAACGCCACCUCAGGUGAACAGGUCAUACAGUCUAAUGUCCGAUAAUUUAGCGGGUGGAAGAUUUCAAAAUGAUGAAAAAUUGCGAAAAUUAUUUGAAGACCAUCAUUCGUUUGGAUUAGUUAUAUAAUGACAUUAGUUACUUAGUUCGAACAAUAUAUGUUUAUUUUUUAUGUUACUAUGACAUUAAUAUCAUUUAUUAGCACUUCCUUUUGUUAA